This 253-nucleotide ribosomal RNA is filed under the name uncultured bacterium. RNAcentral describes it as "partial 16S ribosomal RNA". It matches the Rfam family "Bacterial small subunit ribosomal RNA", at positions 524 to 776 of the family's 1533-position model. The record is from RNAcentral.
UACGGGGGGGGCAAGCGUUGUUCGGAAUUACUGGGCGUAAAGGGCUCGUAGGUGGCCAACUAAGUCAGACGUGAAAUCCCUCGGCUUAACCGGGGAACUGCGUCUGAUACUGGAUGGCUUGAGUUUGGGAGAGGGACGCGGAAUUCCAGGUGUAGCGGUGAAAUGCGUAGAUAUCUGGAGGAACACCGGUGGCGAAGGCGGUUCUCUGGGCAUGUCCUGACGCUGAGGAGCGAAAGUGUGGGGAGCGAACAGG